Molecule: ribosomal RNA, 499 nt
Filed under: uncultured soil bacterium
Lineage: Bacteria
Description: bacterial SSU rRNA
Rfam family: Bacterial small subunit ribosomal RNA
Source: RNAcentral
UGUGGCGCACGGGUGAGUAACACGUAGCCAACUACCCUCGAGUGGGGGAUAACUGGGGAAACUCGGGCUAAUACCGCAUACCUCCGACACAAGCAAAGGCCCGCUGGAGGAGGGGGCUGCGGCCGAUUAGCUAGUUGGUGAGGUAAUGGCUCACCAAGGCGAUGAUCGGUAGCCGGCCUGAGAGGGCGCGCGGCCACACUGGCACUGAAAUACGGGCCAGACUCCUACGGGAGGCAGCAGUGGGGAAUUUUGCACAAUGCCCGAAAGGGUGAUGCAGCAACGCCGCGUGAGGGAUGAAGGCCUUCGGGUCGUAAACCUCUUUCGACCGGGAAAAAUGAUGGUACCGGUGGAAGAAGCCCCGGCCAACUACGUGCCAGCAGCCGCGGUAAUACGUAGGGGGCGAGCGUUGUUCGGAAUUACUGGGCGUAAAGGGCGUGUAGGCGGUGCGAUAAGUCGGGCGUGAAAUCCCCGGGCUUAACCCGGGGCGGUCGCUCGAAAC